UGAUUGUGUUGUAAACGAUUAAAUAAAUUGCUAGGAACAAGAUAUUCUCAGGAAACUAUUGGUUAGUAGAUCUAAUGAAAGCUAGGUUGUUAUCGAACCAUUUUUAAACUCAAACUCUAAUUAUGGAAUAACAGGUGGCGUUCUGCAAAACUCCCUAUAUCUAUAGCUAAGAAUAACUGGAGAAGCCGAGAAAUUAUCAACCUAAAUAUGUGAUAGUAGGAUUUUUACUCAAUUAAUCCUAAAACACUAUCCUGUCGUUGUAGUAUUUUAGGAUGUCAAUCCAAUCCGGUGUGAUGCAAACAGAUGAGAUAUGAUCAGAAAGCUCUAAGUCAAGCCAAGCAGAGAGUUGGUUGGUUCUAACAGUCCUAGUAUGCAAUAACAGAAAUGAAAUGAAACUAAAAGCAGAAAUGGCAAUAGUAGGCAAGUGAAUGACAAAGCAUAAAUGAUAACA
Molecule: small RNA, 451 nt
Filed under: Arabidopsis thaliana (thale cress)
Lineage: Eukaryota; Viridiplantae; Streptophyta; Magnoliopsida; Brassicales; Brassicaceae
Description: ATSL264400
Source: RNAcentral